CGAUGCAACGCGAAGAACCUUACCUACUCUUGACAUCCAGAGAAUUUGCUAGAGAUAGCUUAGUGCCUUCGGGAACUCUGAGACAGGUGCUGCAUGGCUGUCGUCAGCUCGUGUUGUGAAAUGUUGGGUUAAGUCCCGCAACGAGCGCAACCCUUAUCCUUUGUUGCCAGCGAGUAAUGUCGGGAACUCAAAGGAGACUGCCGGUGAUAAACCGGAGGAAGGUGGGGAUGACGUCAAGUCAUCAUGGCCCUUACGAGUAGGGCUACACACGUGCUACAAUGGCAUAUACAAAGAGAAGCGAACUCGCGAGAGCAAGCGGACCUCAUAAAGUAUGUCGUAGUCCGGAUUGGAGUCUGCAACUCGACUCCAUGAAGUCGGAAUCGCUAGUAAUCGUAGAUCAGAAUGCUACGGUGAAUACGUUCCCGGGCCUU
RNAcentral lists this ribosomal RNA (431 nucleotides) under uncultured Enterobacteriaceae bacterium. Its description in RNAcentral is "bacterial SSU rRNA". It matches the Rfam family "Bacterial small subunit ribosomal RNA", at positions 952 to 1382 of the family's 1533-position model. Lineage: Bacteria; Pseudomonadati; Pseudomonadota; Gammaproteobacteria; Enterobacterales; Enterobacteriaceae. The record is from RNAcentral.